RNAcentral lists this ribosomal RNA (464 nucleotides) under Vreelandella stevensii. RNAcentral's name for it is "partial 16S ribosomal RNA". It matches the Rfam family "Bacterial small subunit ribosomal RNA", at positions 339 to 795 of the family's 1533-position model. The record is from RNAcentral. Lineage: Bacteria; Pseudomonadati; Pseudomonadota; Gammaproteobacteria; Oceanospirillales; Halomonadaceae.
CCACGGGUGGCUGCAGUGGGGAAUAUUGGACAAUGGGCGAAAGCCUGAUCCAGCCAUGCCGCGUGUGUGAAGAAGGCCUUCGGGUUGUAAAGCACUUUCAGUGGGGAAGAAAGCCUUGGGGCUAAUACCCUCGAGGAAGGACAUCACCCACAGAAGAAGCCCCGGCUAACUCCGUGCCAGCAGCCGCGGUAAUACGGAGGGUGCGAGCGUUAAUCGGAAUUACUGGGCGUAAAGCGCGCGUAGGCGGUCUGAUAAGCCGGUUGUGAAAGCCCCGGGCUCAACCUGGGAACGGCAUCCGGAACUGUCAGGCUAGAGUGCAGGAGAGGAAGGUAGAAUUCCCGGUGUAGCGGUGAAAUGCGUAGAGAUCGGGAGGAAUACCAGUGGCGAAGGCGGCCUUCUGGACUGACACUGACGCUGAGGUGCGAAAGCGUGGGUAGCAAACAGGAUUAGAUACCCUAGUAGUC